Molecule: ribosomal RNA, 930 nt
Filed under: uncultured bacterium
Lineage: Bacteria
Description: bacterial SSU rRNA
Rfam family: Bacterial small subunit ribosomal RNA
Source: RNAcentral
GGUAACAUUUCUAGCUUGCUAGAAUAUGACGAGCGGCGGACGGGUGAGUAAUGCUUGGGAACAUGCCUUGAGGUGGGGGACAACAGUUGGAAACGACUGCUAAUACCGCAUAAUGUCUACGGACCAAAGGGGGCUUCGGCUCUCGCCUUUAUAUUGGCCCAAGUGGGAUUAGCUAGUUGGUGAGGUAAUGGCUCACCAAGGCGACGAUCCCUAGCUGGUUUGAGAGGAUGAUCAGCCACACUGGGACUGAGACACGGCCCAGACUCCUACGGGAGGCAGCAGUGGGGAAUAUUGCACAAUGGGCGCAAGCCUGAUGCAGCCAUGCCGCGUGUGUGAAGAAGGCCUUCGGGUUGUAAAGCACUUUCAGUCAGGAGGAAAGGUUAGUAGUUAAUACCUGCUAGCUGUGACGUUACUGACAGAAAAAGCACCGGCUAACUCCGUGCCAGCAGCCGCGGUAAUACGGAGGGUGCGAGCGUUAAUCGGAAUUACUGGGCGUAAAGCGUACGCAGGCGGUUUGUUAAGCGAGAUGUGAAAGCCCCGGGCUCAACCUGUGAACUGCAUUUCGCACUGUCAAACUAGAGUGUGAUAGAGAGUGGUAGAAUUUCAGGUGUAGCGCUGAGAUGCGUAGAGAUCUGAAGGAAUACCGAUGGCGAAGGCAGCCACCUGAGUCAACACUGACGCUCAUGUACGAAAGCGUGAGGAGCAAACAGGAUUAGAUACCCUGGUAGUCCACGCCGUAAACGAUGUCUACUAGAAGCUCGGAACCUCGGUUCUGUUUUUCAAAGCUAACGCAUUAAGUAGACCGCCUGGGGAGUACGGCCGCAAGGUUAAAACUCAAAUGAAUUGACGGGAGCCCGCACAAGCGGUGGAGCAUGUGGUUUAAUUCGAUGCAACGCGAAGAACCUUACCUACACUUGACAUACAGAGAAC